GUCCACGCUGUAAACGAUGAGAACUGGGCGUUGGGGAGCUUUGUCUCUCUAGUGCCGAAGCUAACGCGUUAAGUUCUCCGCCUGGGGAGUACGGCCGCAAGGCUAAAACUCAAAGGAAUUGACGGGGGCCCGCACAAGCGGUGGAGCAUGUGGUUUAAUUCGAUGCAACGCGCAAAACCUUACCUACUCUUGACAUCCUCGGAACCUUUCAGAAAUGAGAGGGUGCCUUCGGGAACCGAGAGACAGGUGCUGCAUGGCUGUCGU
This 264-nucleotide ribosomal RNA is filed under the name uncultured bacterium. RNAcentral describes it as "partial 16S ribosomal RNA". It matches the Rfam family "Bacterial small subunit ribosomal RNA", at positions 793 to 1055 of the family's 1533-position model. The record is from RNAcentral.